Long non-coding RNA from Leopardus geoffroyi (Geoffroy's cat), 1455 nucleotides. RefSeq lists it as uncharacterized. Lineage: Eukaryota; Metazoa; Chordata; Mammalia; Carnivora; Felidae. The record is from RefSeq and is a predicted model, not a curated record. The transcript has 10 exons.
CAUCAAGUGAAGCAGUUUUCUGCUUUACCUGGAUAUGGAAGUUGGUAGAAUGUUGGCCGGCCCCUAAUCCCAUAGUUAUGGAGAACGCCAGUUGAACUGCUUUUCUAGGCUGCCAGACUCCUCCCAAGCCACAUCAUCUGGAGUAGUGACCUGAGAAGGCUACAGGUGCAGGUUAGGCAGAGGAAUACUUUGCCCUAGAAUUCAAAAAUUCACUAGCAACUGCUGUAGGUAUUCUGGAGUGUUCUAGAAGAGCUUCACAUACAGGAUAACCACAAAGGGGACAGAGUUUUCCAGAGAAACUGAACCAACAGGAAGUGUGUGUAUGUACAAACAAGGAGAGAGAGAGCACUUUGAAAGAAUUGGCUCACAUAAUUGUGGGAUCUGGAAAGUCUGUAAUCUGCAAGGCAACCAGCAGGCUGGAGACCCACAGAAGAGUUGACAUUGAAUCUUCCAGUGUGAAAGUCUUUUGGAGGACGAAUUUCUUCUCAAGAGACCUUAGCCUUUUCUCUCACACCUUCAGCCGCCUGGAUGAGGCCCAUCCACAUUAUAUAAUAUAAAGCAAUAGAAACAUUGGAGUUACGAAAAGGAUUUGCACAGAAGAGAUGGAACAGCCGGGCAGCAGAAAUAGCCAGAAAUUUAGCAUAAGGUGAUAGAAUGUCCAUUGUGUGCCAGAUGCUGUGUUUGGUCCAAGAAUAGGAAGUCAACGUCACAGACCCUUCUUUCAAAAAGCUCACGUCUAGGGAGAGCAUGACUGAAGAAAAAGAGAAUGACUGAAAGCUAUGUAUAAAAGGGGGGAUUUGCAGAACCACAGCAACAACCUAUAGCAUAGAUCAUGGGACAUAGCUCGCAAUAAUUCCCCCAUAUUUGCCACAAAAGGGCUUCAUUUCCUAAAGAAGCAAACGGUUGUAGAUGAGCCUCCAGGUGCUACAAGAGAGCAGUAGCUGGAAAGAACAGGAGAGUUUUUGCCUACGCAUAGGCAAAGAUGGUUCCGGCUACCCAUCUCGGACCUUCUCAGACCAAGCAGAGCUGCAGCCUCUGGGCUUGUCUUACCUUGUAAUGCAUUUGGAAAGCACCAUAUACUCAGGAAUAGAAAAGUCUGCUGGUGAUCUCUUCCAGACUGUCUGCCCGGAGAACUUUGGGCUCUGACAUGAGAUGUGGAGACAGCCUUGCAGAGACUUCUUAGCCAGCUGCCAUAAUUAGGAUGCAUAUAUGAUAUGUGGGAACUGGCACUAGUCUGUGUCCUGUGUGAACAUCAGGAGUCAAGCAGUGGUGGAUGGGGACCAUGAAAUCCAAACUAGUUGAAAUGUUUACGCAUUGCUCGAACUCCAAAAUGCUGGUCAGUAGUUCUUUUCCGGCUAUGUCUUCACACCUUCAAAUUAGUCCAUUUUUUUCCUCCACGUUUCAUUGUCAAACAAGACUUUGUAGAAAAAUGUAAGUAAUAAACUUCUUUUCAUC